RNAcentral lists this ribosomal RNA (440 nucleotides) under uncultured bacterium. RNAcentral describes it as "bacterial SSU rRNA". It matches the Rfam family "Bacterial small subunit ribosomal RNA", at positions 958 to 1401 of the family's 1533-position model. The record is from RNAcentral.
AACGCGAAGAACCUUACCUGGGUUUGACAUCCCCUGAGUACUGCAGAAAUGUAGUAGGCUCGCAAGAGACAGGGAGACAGGUGCUGCAUGGCUGUCGUCAGCUCGUGUUGUGAAAUGUUGGGUUAAGUCCCGCAACGAGCGCAACCCCUGCCUUUGGUUGCCAUCAUUCAGUUGGGCACUCCAAAGGGACUGCCGUCGUCAAGACGGAGGAAGGUGGGGAUGACGUCAAGUCCUCAUGGCCUUUAUAUCCAGGGCGACACACGUGAUACAAUGGUAGGUACAAAGGGCAGCGAAACCGCGAGGUCGAGCAAAUCCCAUAAAGCCUAUCUCAGUUCGGAUUGAAGUCUGCAAUUCGACUUCAUGAAGCUGGAAUCGCUAGUAAUCGCGGAUCAGAACGCCGCGGUGAAUACGUUCCCGGGCCUUGUACACACCGCUACAGU